AGAAGCCUGACUAAGGGCUUCUUUUUUUGUUGAUGGAAAGAAAUUUCGUUAUUGCUAACGCUUACAUCUUCCGCUAUAAUGAAAUCGACGGAAUCGUCGGAUUAUAAUUAUUGGAGGCUUUACACACUAUGGAACAUGGGAAAGUAAAAUGGUUCAACAACGAAAAAGGGUUUGGUUUUAUUACAGUUGACGGUGGCGAUGAUGUAUUUGUUCACUUCUCUGCCAUUCAAGGAGAUGGGUUUAAAUCGCUUGAAGAAGGACAAGAAGUUGAAUUUACGAUCGUUGAAGGUGCCCGCGGACCGCAGGCAGCGGAAGUAACCAAAGUCUAAAUCAGAACAAAAAAGCUGAGUAACCUCUCAGCUUUUUUAA
RNAcentral lists this small RNA (369 nucleotides) under Enterococcus casseliflavus EC20. RNAcentral describes it as "cspA thermoregulator". It matches the Rfam family "cspA thermoregulator". The record is from Rfam by way of RNAcentral. Lineage: Bacteria; Bacillati; Bacillota; Bacilli; Lactobacillales; Enterococcaceae.